GACGAACGCUGGCGGCGUGCUUAACACAUGCAAGUCGAACGGAAAGGCCCUGCUUUUGUGGGUUGCUCGAGUGGCGAACGGGUGAGUAACACGUGAGUAACCUGCCCUUGACUUUGGGAUAACUUCAGGAAACUGGGGCUAAUACCGGAUAUGAGCUCCUGCUGCAUGGUGGGGGUUGGAAAGUUUCGGCGGUUGGGGAUGGACUCGCGGCUUAUCAGCUUGUUGGUGGGGUAGUGGCUUACCAAGGCUUUGGCGGGUAGCCGGCCUGAGAGGGGGACCGGCCACACUGGGACUGAGACACGGCCCAGACUCCUACGGGAGGCAGCAGUGGGGAAUAUUGCACAAUGGGCGGAAGCCUGAUGCAGCGACGCCGCGUGCGGGAUGACGGCCUUCGGGUUGUAAACCGCUUUCGGCUGUGACGAAGCGUGAGUGACGGUAAUGGGUAAAGAAGCACCGGCUAACUACGUG
This 468-nucleotide ribosomal RNA is filed under the name uncultured bacterium. RNAcentral's name for it is "partial 16S ribosomal RNA". It matches the Rfam family "Bacterial small subunit ribosomal RNA", at positions 28 to 507 of the family's 1533-position model. The record is from RNAcentral.